UAUUGAGAUCUCAAAUUUCAACCAGUUUUAGUUGUGCUGUACAGAACUUCUAUUUUAUUUAUUUAACUUCGCUGUUCAUUUAGCCGCUAGUGUCUUUCUGGAGCAACCCACUUUCUACAUUUGUUUUUUGUUUUUAUUUCUCAAGGAGAGAUUAAAAAAAGAGGAGUGCUCUUUGAGAAAGUAAUUGGCAGUUAUCUCAUAAAUGAAGGAAGUGAUAAUGUGUGGUUACAUUAUUGUGCAUAAACAUCUGAGACUUUGUGAUCCUGAAUACACACCUCCUCUAACUAAUUAUCCAGUUAGAAUUGCAGGUGCAGCUGAAAAUGGAUGGGUCCAGUGACACUUGCAGUCAGAUCACUUCUGCUUUGAGAGAGAGAGGCUGAAUCACCC
Molecule: long non-coding RNA, 387 nt
Filed under: Phasianus colchicus (ring-necked pheasant)
Lineage: Eukaryota; Metazoa; Chordata; Aves; Galliformes; Phasianidae
Description: lncRNA (ENSPCLG00000020407.1)
Source: RNAcentral